GUUAUGACAAGGCAGAAGUUGACUUUAGUGGCAUUGUGUGAGCUGCUGGAUCAAACCUGACCUGAAACAUCAUUACUACUGAACAAAUAAUUUAUAUUAUUAUUACUUUAGACAAUUUGAAUGGGGUUUUCUGUUUUUAUUUUUCAACAUAGUUUUAAUUCAUGUCCAUUGCGUGUGUGCAUGAUAAGUCACUUCAGUCGUGUCCAACUGUAGCCCUCCAGGCUCCUCUGUCCAUGUCCAUUGAGUCGGUGAUGCCAUCCAACCAUUUCUGUCUCUGGAUGAGGACUUCUCUUUGGAAGCAGCUGCUCACACUAAAAACUGAACACAAGCUGCACGAGGCCAGAAAUGACGUCCGGAAGGCGAAUGGUGACAGUGCCGUCACUUUGUGUUUGAUGUGUUUUUUAAGCUUUCCCAAAAGGGUAGGAGGUAGGUCAGAAUGUCUUGUACUCUGCUAAACAUUGUGUUGAAUUCAUCUGUGAGGUUGGAGAAAACUCACAAAACUGGCCCUUCCAGAUUGUUCCCUAACUUCUGAGAAAGUAAGACAGCCCCCAAAUACCACAAGCUGGCUGAGUGUGGGUGCUGCCUUAGCACUAAACAUUCUAUAAACUGCUGCAUGGUUUUUGCAACAAGCAUGGUACUCUUCAAAAUGAAGAUUAGUGACCCUGGCUUCUUGCUUACCUAUGCAUUAAAUAUGUAUACCCUACUUUACAAUCAUGACCACGAACAUGGAGUAAUAGUAACAGCUAGACAGGUCACUUCUUGAAGCCAACAACAGAAAAGUGUCUUUUACAAGGUAGGGUGUCAACCACAAAAGAACAACAUCAUAAAGGAGCGCUCAUAGCUAACCUGUGACAGACUGUUUCCAAAAAUAGCAGCUGAGACAACCAUCGUAACUAUGGAAAUCCCUGUGGAAAGGAGAAUGUCUUUUCUGCCCUCUCGAAGCCUGCCAGGACAGAGAGGCUGUGUCAUAGAUCAGUGCCACCCAGCACCCAGGGCCGAGGACUGAUGCUAAUUGCUGAAGCUUCACUCAUUGUUUCCCAGGCGUAUCAGUCCUUGGCAGGGCUUGGCAGGUGCCACUCUCCACUGUCUUUGAACCCUCUCUGGUUUCGCUCCGGCCAGUUCAUUAGCUGCCAGCCGGCUGUGGCCUUGCGUCCCUGCUGCAGCCACCUGACACCGCUUUGGGCUUUGUUCCCGCCUAACUGGAACUCCGUGACAAAAUCAGAUCCCAGUCAGCAUUAUCACGGGGACUGCAGAAGCAGCCUGUUCUCGGGCUUUAAAUGUUCCUCCACGUUUGGCUUUUCUGUCUCUGUUCUCAUCCUAGCCAUCUCCUCGACCUGCUCUCUCUCUAGGGUUCUGACUUCUAACCUGUCCUCUGGAGACCUACCAUAAACUGGACUCUCUGUGGGGGCUUUAACAGGCUCAGGGCCUGGUCCCCUAGCCUCAGGGACUAGGCAAAUCAUCUGAGAGAGAAAGGUGCACUUAUAACAAUUCUCUGUCCUCUAGUCUCAGAGAAGCCUUCUCCUUGUGCCUGUUUGAUAUAAGUGCCAAUUCAAGGGUAUGAUUCAGGAAAAUAAAACACUGCUUCUUGGGGGUCACAGAGAGUCUUCAGUUCAGAGUUUUUGGGAAAAGUGUAGACCAGUGUGGGUAAUGUACACAUAGCCUGUGUAUAGUGUAUAGGAGAGGGACAGAAUACCUUUCCUGAUGGUUGGUCAGAUUCAUUUUUAUGUCAUAUAUAUGCUAGCUGUGUGUUUCUUUUUGAUUUUCUUAUUUCGGGGCAGCUAGAGCCUAGCAUUAUAAAUGGAAGCUCCAGGAAACUAGGUAAAUGCAGGUGAGGGAUGGAACAGAUGUCUAAUUUCAGUGUACACCUGAGCAAUAUGGUGCCAGCAAAUCCUAUUGAUUCUUAGUUUCUCGUACCUUCCCUGCAACACAGGGCAGAAAUCAGCAGAAAAGAUGAAAAGAACUCCCAAGGGAGCUUCUAGUUCUUCUCUUUUUCUUCAUCUACUCAUCUCAGCACCUUGAAGAAAUUAUAUUUAAGACCCUGGUGAAAGUUGGCCACGAAGCAUUCCGCUCAGACUUUCUUUCC
Bos taurus (domestic cattle) is the source of this 2083-nucleotide long non-coding RNA. The record is from Ensembl. Lineage: Eukaryota; Metazoa; Chordata; Mammalia; Artiodactyla; Bovidae.